This 72-nucleotide transfer RNA is filed under the name Ipomoea nil (Japanese morning glory). It matches the Rfam family "tRNA". From Rfam's summary of the family: Transfer RNA (tRNA) molecules are approximately 80 nucleotides in length. Their secondary structure includes four short double-helical elements and three loops (D, anti-codon, and T loops). Lineage: Eukaryota; Viridiplantae; Streptophyta; Magnoliopsida; Solanales; Convolvulaceae. The record is from Rfam by way of RNAcentral.
GUGGUUCUAGUCCAACGGUUAGGAUAAUUGCUUUUAAAUCAAUAAACCCGGGUUCGACUCCUUGCAAACACA